Long non-coding RNA from Cucumis sativus (cucumber), 333 nucleotides. RefSeq lists it as uncharacterized. The transcript is spliced from 3 exons. NCBI's taxonomy places the organism in Eukaryota, Viridiplantae, Streptophyta, Magnoliopsida, Cucurbitales, Cucurbitaceae. The record is from RefSeq and is a predicted model, not a curated record.
UGUUUUCUGCACUGCCGCGCGACUCUCCGACCGCGUCAGAUCGUUGAUCGAUUUUGAGGCAGCCGCCACGUCUCCUUUGGCCGACAGCUGACCGACCCACACUUAGGAUUUUUGCUGCGAGUCCGACAGUCGUGCGUUGAGGUGUUGGGAGUAACGUUGGGCUCCCUUAAAUUCACAACCAAUUUGUGAAUUGUUGAGGAUUCAGUUCGCCAAUAUAUCGGAUUGUUUCGAGGACGUUAGUUGAUUAAGGAGCUUCCCUAACUUUGAGGCAAAGGAAAUAAAGGUGGCAAACCGGCGAGGGGCAGGAAGGAAGCGUGAUUGCCAUAGGAAAUG